AAAAAAGAAAGAAAGAAAGAAAGAAAAAAAGAAAAUCUGGAAAAUGUAGAAAGCUAUAAAGAAAAUAUAAAGAAAAAAUAGAAGUGAGCCCUGGGCCCCUCUCUCCACGGGCCCUUCCUUCUGGCUUCAAGUGCUCUUGCCCAGCCUGCUGCCACACCCGUGGACGACGGCCCGGCCGGGGGGUGCACACGUGUGCCACCUUCUUCCUGGCCCUGAAUUGUGUGUGAUGGGCUUCUUUGCGUGUCUCUGGGUCUGGUCACCCUUUGGGCUGGCUUCGGUGACCAUUCCCAAGGGCGGGGACCCACGGCCAGCCCCCAGCAGUGAGGGGCAUCCGGGUGGUCUCUGAGUCGCCGAAGGUCCCCAGGGGAGCAGAGAUGACCUCCCCUUGCGGCCCCCUUUUCCCCAGCAACUACUCUGCUGGGAGGGCUCCUGCCUGAGAGGGGCUACCACUGGGUUCCAGGCAGGGGCAGGAUGGGGGCCUGGAUCCGGGGCCCCUGAGAGCCCUGAGUUCCCACAAUCACCCCAGGCCCCUCCCCACCUCAGGCAGCCUCAGCCUGUCAUAGGAGGGGCCCCUUGCCCAGGCCCUGGCAGUGCUGGUUUUAGGGGGUCUGUGUCUUAGUGCCUUGGGGCUGCUAAAAUGAAAUAUAUAGACCAGGGGGCUUGGAAACAACAGAAAUGUAUUUCUUAUGGUUCUGGAGGCUCAAAGUCCAAGGUCAAAGUCUGUGAUCAUGAGAGCAGACUCCGUGUCUGGUAAGGGCCCUGUUUCUGGCUCAUGGAUGGCGGCCUCUGGCUGUGUCACACACGGCGGGAGGGAGGUCUCUCCUGGGUCUCCUGUAUGGGACACUAUCCCAUUCAUGAGGGCUCCACCCUCCCAGGAGGCCCCACCUCCUGACCUUAUCACCUUGGGGUUAAUAUUUCAACAUGGGAAUCUAGGGCGCACGUGUAGAUCACGUGUUGGGUGCAUCCUGUUAUGCAUGUGUCCUGGCUUGUGGCGUGUGUGUAGGUGGUGUGGCUGGGUGCAUCCUGUCAUGCGUGUGUCCUGGCUUGUGGCGUGUGUGUAGGUCGUGUGCUGGGUGCAUUCUGUCAUGUGUGUGUCCUGGCUCGUGGUGCACAUGUAGAUCACGUGCUGCGUGCAUUGUGUCACAUGUGUCCUGGCUUGUGGCACGUGUGUAGGUCAUGUACGGGGUGCAUUGUGUCAUGCAUGUAUGUGUACUGGCUUGUGACGUGUGUGUAGGUCACAUGCUGGGUGCAUCCUCUCAUGCGUGUGUCCUGGCUAGUGGCCCAUGUAGAUCACGUGCUGGGUGCAUCGUGUCACGUGUGUGCCCUGGCUUGUGGCCCGUGUAGAUCACGUGCUGGGUGCAUCGUGUCACGCGUGUGCCCCGGCUUGUGGCUAGUAGGGUCAUCACAGUCCACUCUUCUGCCUUCAGAUCUGAACCAAAGGAGCCACAGGCCUCUGGUUCUGGAAGCUGUGGAGCCCAGUGGGGCUCUGCACGGCCCAUUCUUCUUCAUUUGCUUCUAUGCUGGGGUGAGCGGCGUCCCCAAAUUCGUGUCCCUCUGGAAGCUCAGCCUGCUGCCUUAUUGGAAGGAGGGCCUUUGCAGACAUGAUGGAGUAAGAGGAGGUCAUACUGGAUUGCAGUGGGUUUAGCCCAGUGAUGACUGUCCUUGUGAACCAUAGACGCAGGGAGAAGCCGUGUGAAGGUGGAGGCAGAGGCUGCAGUGACGCCACCACCAACCACAGGGGCUGCUCAGAGCUGGAAGAGGCUGAAGGACCCUGCGCUGGAGGCUUCAGAGAGGGUGCGGGCCUGUCACCCUUGGCUUCAGACUCGGCCUCCAGAGCCGCGAGAGGACACAUUUCCAUCGCUUCAGCCGUCGGAUUGUGGGUUUCCUGGGGCCUCCCCGGAAGCCAAGCAGAUGCCAGCACCACACUUCCUGUAGAGUCUGCAGAACCGGGAGCCGAUUAAACUUCUUUUCUUUAAGAAUC
Macaca mulatta (Rhesus monkey) is the source of this 1981-nucleotide non-coding RNA. The record is from RefSeq and is a predicted model, not a curated record. Lineage: Eukaryota; Metazoa; Chordata; Mammalia; Primates; Cercopithecidae.